UAAGGAAUAUUGGUCAAUGGACGCAAGUCUGAACCAGCCAUGCCGCGUGAAGGAUGAAGGUCCUCUGGAUUGUAAACUUCUUUUAUAGGGGACGAAACCUCUUUUUCUAAAGAGACUGACGGUACCCUAGGAAUAAGCACCGGCUAACUCCGUGCCAGCAGCCGCGGUAAUACGGAGGGUGCAAGCGUUAUCCGGAUUCACUGGGUUUAAAGGGUGCGUAGGAGGGCAGGUAAGUCAGUGGUGAAAUCUCUGGGCUCAACCCGGAAACUGCCGUUGAUACUAUCUGUCUUGAAUACUGUGGAGGUGAGCGGAAUAUGUCAUGUAGCGGUGAAAUGCUUAGAUAUGACAUAGAACACCAAUUGCGAAGGCAGCUCACUACACAUAUAUUGACUCUGAGGCACGAAAGCGUGGGGAUCAAACAGG
RNAcentral lists this ribosomal RNA (423 nucleotides) under uncultured bacterium. Its description in RNAcentral is "bacterial SSU rRNA". It matches the Rfam family "Bacterial small subunit ribosomal RNA", at positions 355 to 776 of the family's 1533-position model. The record is from RNAcentral.